Molecule: long non-coding RNA, 905 nt
Organism: Camelus dromedarius (Arabian camel)
Lineage: Eukaryota; Metazoa; Chordata; Mammalia; Artiodactyla; Camelidae
Exons: 5
Source: RefSeq, a predicted model, not a curated record
GCUGCCUCAGGAGUUAAGUCCCACGGAUGCCACCUUGUGUGCUGAAGGCCGGAGCCGUAUUCCUCCGCGCUCGGGGCCCCAGCGCCGCUCGCUGCAUCGCAACCGCACGGCGGAGGGUUUUCAGUCCUACCAGCAGGGAGCACCAGAGGCAGCUUCCAGAACCGGGGAAAUCCGGGAACCUAGUCACGUCUGCAAAGCACCGUCUGGCUUUCUCUCUUCCCCGCCCGUCAGAAACUGUUUUCCAAAUCGAGGUAUGGGACUUGUCGUUCAAGCAUGGUGAUGCCAAAAUAGUCCACCUUUAGGGUUUUGUUUCCUCGCAGCUAGCACACUGAUAAAAAAGUAAAAGUACUUUGUGUGACUGAACUCCUGACACGGUCAGACCCCAGUGAAGGGAGGGAGGGGAGUCACGGGGGGGAAUUAAUGGAAAGGAACGAAGAGCAGAAACCUCUGAUGCUGAUAAAGAUCAGUUUUGUGUGAUAUCCUAGCCUGCUUCAGAGUGGGAAGGCGACAGUGGAAGGACUCCGCUGGAUUUGCCAGUGCCCCGUCAAGGUUUUUUAAAGGCUCUAAGUACAACUGCUCAGGAGCUGCUCAAAUGGAGGUGUGCAGAUUGGCAGAGAACAUCUUAAUUUUUUGAUGAAGAUAGACCCUCAGGGGUGGAAGAACCAAUGGAAGAUCACUUAAAUUCACGUCUGAAAGGAGUACCUGCUAUUGGCAACAACUUGGAUGGACCUUGAGGACAUUAUGGGUUGAACAAUCCAGUUCUUGGCCUGCUGGUCCCCAGUGUCUGCAACAAGAGCUUUUUCUAUUGAAAGACUAAGGAAAGAUGGUCCGGAUGAGCCCGAGAUAGAAGACAAAGGAGGUAUGAGGCAACAUCUUUCCCUGCUGGCUUGGGAACAGUCAUCUUU